CAUGGAAAAGAAUCUGAUUGUUUCUCUGUUUUGCUGUCACUUUGUGUUUUGCGGAGUUAAUCCAAAGAGUUGCUUCAACAAGCAGAACUCAAGGAAACACGGGUGAGGUUACUUUCAGGCUUGGAGACUUCUGAGCUAAAGGAAGUGGGCCAGGGAAGGGCUAGGUGCUCUGACAUUCCAAAUAUAGUCUGCUUGGCCACUGAGGAACAGAGAUUUGUUGCUAGCAACAAGUACUUAGAACGUGUGUGAUUUGGCAUGUCUCGAACUGUGAAGUAGAUGCAAUGCAGGCAGAAAAUCGAUGAUGCUAUGGGGAGGGGCUGUGUAGGGUGUUAAUCGCCAUCUGCAGUGCCUGGAGGUGGGGUGGGGAGAAGUGAAGAAUCUCUUCCUUUUUAAUAGAUUUUCAAGAUGGGAAAAUCAUAUUGCAACCCACAGGCAUUUGGAAACAAUUUGUGCCGAAGACAGAAAGUACACCUAACGUUAAGCUGAAAAAACUGGACGCUCCCAGCAAACUCACUUUGCAGACUCCUGGUUGUCAGAAGAAAACGCCAGAGGAUUUCACUUGGCAUUGACCUCUUACUACUUCCAGCCACUUACCCUGGGCAGUAGAAAGAAGGAACAGAAAGCAGAGUAGAUUAAGAGGAGCAAGUACAAAUGGCGUGGGACUUCAAAUCACCACCUAAGAUUACUUCUUUGAUUUCUGAAAAAGUAGGUCAAAGGAAGAUGUCAGGGGCAAGAAACCAAUUGGGUGUUGUGCCUAAGAACGUGGACCCUGUGGCCAGACUGCUUGGAUCAGUGUCCUCCCUCCACCACUUUGUAGCCAUCUGACCUCAGGCAAGUUACUUCACCUCUCUAUGCCUUGGCUCCUCAUUUAUAAACUGGUGAUAUGAACAGAGCCUGUGUUCUAGGAUUGCUGUGACAAUUACAUAGAAAUGAGUCAACAUGUACAUAGCACACAGAACAAUGCCAGGCACACAGCAAGUGCUAUUUAUGUUCUUCUUUCUUCCUCCUCCUCCUCUUCCUCCUCCUCUUCUUACUUUAUGCCAUUCUGAUAAACACUAUUUUAUUUAUUUUAUAAUUUAGGAACUGAUUCUAAACUACAUUAAGUAAUUUGUUUAAGGUCGAGCAUCUAGUGAGUGUUGGGCACUGUGUUGGAGCUUCAGUCUGUCUGACUUCAAGGCCUGUGCUCCUUUCAAGGUGAGGUGUUUGACACAUCCCCUGCUUGCCAUCCUGGUGGCAUUCUCUCAACCACCAAAGCUUAUGAAAACAUGCCACUCAGGUUAGCUUCCACCGGACACUGACAGAGGAGCAAUUAUACCUCCGCCAAAGAAAAUUCUCAAUGCCAAUAAGGGUUCUGGCUACUGUGGUAUACUUAGAGGAAAUGAAUUUAGGAAGUUUUAAUUAAGAUUUCAAGGAUGAGAAGAGGAAAAUAUGAAGGAGACGGAAUAAAUAUUCUUCUACUUUGAUUGGGAGGGUCAAAAUUCGCUUUCGCUGUCUUAUGAAGGUUGAAGUUCUAGGAUUCAGGAAUAGGAUUCUUUGCUAUUGGGUAUUAAAAAGCAAUAGAGCUCCAAAUAUAUGCAAUCAAUCCAUCCCAUCUUUAGGGAAACCUAAAUCUAAGCCACCUAGUAUAGAGAGCCACUUGUCCUGUGAGUAAAGACUUUUACAAGAUUUAACAGAGAAUAGGAGCAGGAAAGAGACCAACGUAAGGCAGUUGCUAGAACAACAGAAUUGCUUUACAGUUCUGACUUCACAACCUCAUUUUCCUGACCUGAUAGUUCUGAGACGAACUUCUCUGGGUGCAUCUAGAAUCUAUUCCUUCUGUGAGGUGGUCACCAGGCCUGGUGACCUUUUAAGUUUAAUGUAUUAGAGCCAGCUGGGUCUUUGAGCCAGUGGAAGGAGACUGUGUGAACACUUGUAAGCCAUGUGCCUUUGUCCAGUAGCGUUUCAGUGCUACCUAAGCAUCUCUACAGCUAUUGUGUCUGACCUGCUCUGGGGAUUGAAACAUAUAGUUGGAACAGGAGGCAGUGGCUUUUUUUUUUUCUUCGAUAGAUUUCUAAAACCUUUAAAUGAAGUACUGCAUAUAUACAGAAAAGUACAUAGAGCAUAAGUAUAUAGUCCAGUGAGCUAUCACAAAAUGAAUGUACCUGUGUAAGUGCCACUCAGGUUAAAGAAUAGAGCAUUAUCAGCACCCAAGAAACCCACUGAAUAUUCCCUCCAAUUUAUCAUGCUCUUCCUUCUCUCCAAAGGUUACCACUGUCCUGACUUAUAACGCCAUAGGUUAGUUUUAUUUGCAUUUGAGCCACAUAUAAUUAGAAUGAUACAUUCUGUAUUCUUUCAGGUCUGGUGACUUUCACUUACUGUUACAUUUGAAAGUUUUAGUAGAUUUGCAUGUAAUAGGAGUUCAUGUAUUUUUACUGCUGAAUAGUUUUCCAUUCUAUAAAUAUACUAUGAGUUAUUUACCCAUUCAACUGUCCCUUUAAUGGACAUUUAGGUUGUUUAAAAUUUGAGGUUAUUAUGAAUAAUGCUGCCACAAACAUUCUUAUACAUGUCUUUUGUGUAUAUUUCUGUGGGAGUACAUAUCUGCAAGUGGAAUUGCUGAGUCAGAAAGUAUGCAUGUAGUACUCAGCGUUAGAGGAACCUUGCCAAAGAGUUUUCCAAAGUGGAAAUGUGCCAGUUUACGCUUCCACCAACAGUGUGUAUGUUCAAAAUCCUUGCUAACAUUUGGUAUUGUCAGGCUUUUAAAUUAUGAUUGUUCCAAUAGGUGUGUAGUAGCAUGUCAUUGUGGUUUUAAUUUUUAUUUUCCUGAAGACUGAUAAAGUUGAGUACCUUUGGAAAUGUUAAUUGGCAAUUUGGCUACCUUUGGUGAAGUGCCUGAACAUGGCACUGGGUUAUUUGUCUUCCUUAUUAAUUUGUAGUUUUCACUUAUCCUGGACAUGCGUUAUAUGUGUUGCAAAUAAUUUCUCCCACUAUGUGGGUUGCCUCUUCGGUACUUUAAUGGUAUUUUGGGGUGAACAGAACGUCUUAAAAUUAAAGGACCACAAUGUAUCUUUGCCUUUUUGAUUAGGACAUUUUGUGACUAUUUAAAAAUCUUCUAAGAUCAUAAAGAUAUUCUCCCAUGUUAACUUCUAGAACAGGGGUUGGCAAACUAUGGACUGUGAUCCAAAUCCAUUCUGCCAACUGUUUUUGUAAAUAAAGUUUUAUUGGGAUACAGUCAUGCUCAUUCAUUUACACAUCACCCAUGACUACUUUUGUGCUACAACAGACCUUAUGGCACACAAAGCCCAGAAUGUUUAUUCUCUGGCUCUUUACAGAAAAAGUUUGCCAAACCCUCUAGAAGAUUUAUUGUUUUGCCUUUCACAUUUGGAAUGGUAUUUGUGUAUAGUGUGUGAUAGGGAUCAAGAUUUUUUUUCCAUAUGAAUAUGUAAUUGAACCAGUGUCAUUUAUUAAGGGCUUAGCCUUUCCCCAUGAUUCCCUAUGUCAUAAAUCAAAUCAAGUAUACAUAUAUGUGUGGAUCUGUUUCCAGAUUUUCAAUUCUUUUUAUUGGUCCAUUUUUCUAUCCCAUGACCAAUACGACUCUGUUUUACUUGGUGCACUUUUAAAAGUGAGUCACGAUAUCUUCCCACUUCAUUUUUCUUCAAGGUUGUCUCUGUUACUGUUAAGACUUGACAUAUCUGUAUUAGUUUUUGAAUAGGCCUGUCAAUUUCCUCAAAACACCUUCCUGGGAUUUAGAUUGGCAUUAUAUUGAUUCUGUAGAUCAAUUUGGAGAGGUUUGACUUAUUUACAGUGAUGAGAUCCUUCCAGUUCAUAAAAGUGAUGUAUUUUUUAAUUUAUUUAGGUCUUCUUCAAUUUCUUUCAAUAAUAUUUAGACCUGACUUUGAUAUCCUGUACAUAUUUUGAUUGGUUUAUUUCUAGGUAUCUUUGAUGCUAUGAUAAUUUAUGUCAACACUAGCUUUUGUGUAAAAGAAAAAAACUACUAACUAGUCACCUACUGAUAUGGUUUAGCUCUGUGUCCCCAUCCAAAUCUCAUGGCAAAUUGUAAUCCCCAAUGUUGGAGGAGGGGUCUGGUGGGAGGUGAUUUGAUCCUGGGGGCAGAUUUUCCCCCUGCUAUUCUCACAACAGUGAGUUCUCACGUGAUCUAGUUGUUUAGAAGGGUGUAGCACUUACCCCUUCUUAUUCUUCCUCCUUCUCUGGCCAUGUAAGAUGCGCCUCCUUCCUCUUCAUCUUCUACUGAUGAUUGUCAGUUUCCUGAGGCCUCCCAGCCAUGCUCCCUGUGCAGCCUGCAGAAUCAGGAGCCAAU
This 4294-nucleotide long non-coding RNA is filed under the name Homo sapiens (human). RNAcentral describes it as "HSALNT0101734". Lineage: Eukaryota; Metazoa; Chordata; Mammalia; Primates; Hominidae. The record is from RNAcentral.